Molecule: ribosomal RNA, 233 nt
Filed under: Laceyella tengchongensis
Lineage: Bacteria; Bacillati; Bacillota; Bacilli; Caryophanales; Thermoactinomycetaceae
Description: partial 23S ribosomal RNA
Rfam family: Bacterial large subunit ribosomal RNA
Source: RNAcentral
GAGAAGUGGUGGAGCGCUUGGAAGUGAGAAUGCCGGUAUGAGUAGCGAAAAGAGGGGUGAGAAUCCCCUCCACCGUAAGCCUAAGGUUUCCUGAGGAAGGUUCGUCCGCUCAGGGUUAGUCGGGACCUAAGCUGAGGCCGAAAGGCGUAGGCGAUGGACAACAGGUUGAUAUUCCUGUACCACCUAUUUUCGUUUGUACGAUGGGGGGACGCAGGAGGGUAGGGAAUCGCGCG